RNAcentral lists this transfer RNA (86 nucleotides) under Cordylochernes scorpioides. Its description in RNAcentral is "tRNA-Thr". The record is from RNAcentral. Lineage: Eukaryota; Metazoa; Arthropoda; Arachnida; Pseudoscorpiones; Chernetidae.
GUCCAGGGGCGGGAAUCGAACCCCUAGUGGACAUGGCAUCUGCCCGGUAAGCGGAACGUUGUGGGUUCGAUUCCCGCCCCUGGACA